UUUUAUUAUUUUUUGUUAUUUUUUGGUUUUUAUUUGAUAAUUAAUUAAAUAAUUAUUCUAAAAUUAAAUAAUUUAGAAGGGGGCUUAUCACAAGCUGCCAGCCUGCCACGUGGCAUUAUUAGCCUUAAUGACUAACGGUGUUAACGUCCGUUAGUCAUUAAUGGUAUGUUGUGACAUUUACCAAAAACUCAGUGGUAUUUGGUGUAUUAAAAAAAUUUGUGUGGUAUAUGAUGAAUUUUCGAAAAAACUCAAUGGUAUUUCAUGAAAAAUCCGUUUAAUUAAGUGAAUAAAAAAAAAUAAUCUGAUCUGUUACACGGAUUUACCAUGUGUAAAAUAUCCAACCUUAGAUCUCCCUAUCCUCUUUCCCUCAAACAGUCAAACCCUAAAAUUUACCAGCACUCUUCAUCUAUUAGCCGCCCUCCUUUUUCUCUCUCUAUUAUUUUAAUCCCUAAUUUCUCACUUCUUCCUCAUCUUCAAUCCUUUUUCUCUUCUUCUCUCGAACUUUUCCCUUCCCCCACCGCCUCCAAAAUCCAGCAUCGGUUCAAGCUCCGAUUCGAAUUUCGGUACCUAUUCAACAACGUCAAGCAACAACAACCACCGCAACAACAACAACUAUCAAUGCCACCAGCAGCAACAACAAUUCCAUCAUCCACUACCAAUUUGUUGCUUUCGAUGAUGGUGCGUACAGGUACAUCAAUGGAGGCAAUGUAGAUUGAAGAGUAGUAGAUCAACUUACAUCCCACUUUUUUUUUCUUUCUAAUUUUUUACAAAAUCAUUGUUUAUUGAUUGAAGUAUUAAUGAUUACUUAUAUUUUUUAGUUUUUAGUGUAAGGCCCUUUUCUCUUCACCAUAAUUUCAGUCAGUAAAAAUAAUUUCAGUCAGUAAGAAUUAUAAUAGAAAUUUUGUAAAAAUAAUUUCUGUUCAGUAAAAUGAAGUUCAGUUUAGUAAAAAUAAUUUUAGUUCCUUAAAAUUAAGGUGAAUCAAACCGGGUCUAACAUAUGUAUAAUAUUUUGCAAGUAUGAACUACUUGUAUUUCUUUAUUGGAGGAAUCAUAUCUUUGUUUGAUUAGGAAUUA
Chenopodium quinoa (quinoa) is the source of this 1074-nucleotide long non-coding RNA. RefSeq lists it as uncharacterized. The transcript has 2 exons. Lineage: Eukaryota; Viridiplantae; Streptophyta; Magnoliopsida; Caryophyllales; Amaranthaceae. The record is from RefSeq and is a predicted model, not a curated record.